UGGAGAGUGAAGUCCUGUGCUUAUUCACAGAACAGGUACAGCAAUGGUAGCAAUAGGGCAAACUAAUCCAUACUCACACCGCUGUACCUGAACCUUUGUUAAAGUGCAAAGGAAAAUACUGAAGUUUGCCUUCCACUACUGGUUCCC
RNAcentral lists this small RNA (147 nucleotides) under Chelonoidis abingdonii (Abingdon island giant tortoise). Its description in RNAcentral is "TUC338 (ENSCABG00000020471.1)". Lineage: Eukaryota; Metazoa; Chordata; Testudines; Testudinidae. The record is from RNAcentral.